Molecule: ribosomal RNA, 1127 nt
Filed under: uncultured fungus
Lineage: Eukaryota; Fungi
Description: eukaryotic LSU rRNA
Rfam family: Eukaryotic large subunit ribosomal RNA (bases 495-1127)
Source: RNAcentral
AAGUCGUAACAAGGUUUCCGUAGGUGAACCUGCGGAAGGAUCAUUACCUAGAGUUGUAGGCUUCGCCUGCUAUCUCUUACCCAUGUCUUUUGAGUACUUACGUUUCUUCGGCGGGUCCGCCCGCCGAUGACAAUUUAAACCCUUUGCAUUUGAAAUCAGCGUCUGAAAAACUUAAUAAUUACAACUUUCAACAACGGAUCUCUUGGUUCUGGCAUCGAUGAAGAACGCAGCGAAAUGCGAUAAGUAGUGUGAAUUGCAGAAUUCAGUGAAUCAUCGAAUCUUUGAACGCACAUUGCGCCCCUUGGUAUUCCAUGGGGCAUGCCUGUUCGAGCGUCAUUUGUACCUUCAAGCUUUGCUUGGUGUUGGGUGUUUGUCUCGCCUUGCGUGUAGACUCGCCUUAAAAUAAUUGGCAGCCGGCGUAUUGAUUUCGGAGCGCAGUACAUCUCGCGCUUUGUUUUCAUAACGACGACGUCCAAAAGUACUUUUUACACUCUUGACCUCGGAUCAGGUAGGGAUACCCGCUGAACUUAAGCAUAUCAAUAAGCGGAGGAAAAGAAACCAACAGGGAUUGCCCUAGUAACGGCGAGUGAAGCGGCAACAGCUCAAAUUUGAAAUCUGGCGUCUUUGGCGUCCGAGUUGUAAUUUGCAGAGGGCGCUUUGGUAUUGGCAGCGGUCCAAGUUCCUUGGAACAGGACGUCACAGAGGGUGAGAAUCCCGUACGUGGUCGCUAACCUUUACCGUGUAAAGCCCCUUCGACGAGUCGAGUUGUUUGGGAAUGCAGCUCUAAAUGGGAGGUAAAUUUCUUCUAAAGCUAAAUACUGGCCAGAGACCGAUAGCGCACAAGUAGAGUGAUCGAAAGAUGAAAAGCACUUUGGAAAGAGAGUUAAAAAGCACGUGAAAUUGUUGAAAGGGAAGCGCUUGCAGCCAGACUUGCCUGUAGUUGCUCAUCCGGGUUUUUAUCCGGUGCACUCUUCUAUAGGCAGGCCAGCAUCAGUUUGGGCGGUUGGAUAAAGGUCUCUGUCAUGUACCUCUCUUCGGGGAGAACUUAUAGGGGAGACGACAUGCAACCAGCCUGGACUGAGGUCCGCGCAUCUGCUAGGAUGCUGGCGUAAUGGCUGUAAGCGGCC